This 373-nucleotide ribosomal RNA is filed under the name uncultured organism. RNAcentral describes it as "partial 16S ribosomal RNA". It matches the Rfam family "Bacterial small subunit ribosomal RNA", at positions 527 to 896 of the family's 1533-position model. The record is from RNAcentral.
GUAGGUGGCAAGCGUUGUCCGGAAUUAUUGGGCGUAAAGCGCGCGCAGGCGGUCCUUUAAGUCUGAUGUGAAAGCCCACGGCUCAACCGUGGAGGGUCAUUGGAAACUGGGGGACUUGAGUACAGAAGGGGAAAGCGGAAUUCCAAGUGUAGCGGUGAAAUGCGUAGAGAUUUGGAGGAACACCAGUGGCGAAGGCGGCUUUCUGGUCUGUAACUGACGCUGAGGCGCGAAAGCGUGGGGAGCAAACAGGAUUAGAUACCCUGGUAGUCCACGCCGUAAACGAUGAGUGCUAAGUGUUAGGGGGUUUCCCGCCCCCUUAGUGCUGCAGCUAACGCAUUAAGCACUCCGCCUGGGGAGUACGGCCGCAAGGCUG